RNAcentral lists this ribosomal RNA (253 nucleotides) under uncultured bacterium. RNAcentral describes it as "partial 16S ribosomal RNA". It matches the Rfam family "Bacterial small subunit ribosomal RNA", at positions 524 to 776 of the family's 1533-position model. The record is from RNAcentral.
UACGGGGGGGGCAAGCGUUGUUCGGAAUUACUGGGCGUAAAGGGUUCGUAGGUGGCCAACUAAGUCAUACGUGAAAUCCCUCAGCUUAACUGGGGAACUGCGUCUGAUACUGGUUGGCUUGAGUGCAGGAGAGGAACGCGGAAUUCCAGGUGUAGCGGUGAAAUGCGUAGAUAUCUGGAGGAAUACCGGUGGCGAAGGCGGCAUCCUGGACCGACAUUGACGCUGAACGGCGAAGGCUAGGGGAGCAAACGGG